This 240-nucleotide unclassified non-coding RNA is filed under the name soil metagenome. RNAcentral's name for it is "partial contains 5.8S ribosomal RNA, internal transcribed spacer 2, and large subunit ribosomal RNA". The record is from RNAcentral.
AACCUAGCACACCUGCGGUGUGUACCUGCGGAGGGAUCAUUACCGAGUUUACAAACUCCCAACCCUAUGUGAACCUUACCAAUCGUUGCUUCGGCGGGCUUAGCCCCCGCGCCCUCGCCGGCGCCGGGAGAAAGGCGCCCGCCGGGGACCCCAAACCCAAUGUUUUUCAUGCAGUAUUUCUGAGUGGCAAACGCAAAAAUAAAUCAAAACUUUUAGCAAUGGAUCUCAGAUCGGAAGAGC